GAAGUAGUUUAGAUCCUGGACUCAGGAUAACGCUGGCGGCGACACAUAAGACAUAGCAAGUCGAACCGGAUUAACCGAAUAGUUUACAUUUUGGAGCGGUUAGUGGCGGACUGGUGAGUAACACGUAAGCAACCUGCCUAUUUAGAGGGGAAUAACAGUGAGAAAUCAUUGCUAAUACCGCAUAUGCCAUAAUCACCACAUGGUGAUAGUGGGAAAGGAGCAAUCCGCUAAUAGAUGGGCUUGCGUCUGAUUAGAUAGUUGGUGGGGUAACGGCCUACCAAGUCGACGAUCAGUAGCCGGACUGAGAGGUUGAACGGCCACAUUGGGACUGAGAUACGGCCCAGGACUCCUACGGGAGGCAGCAGUCGGGAAUAUUGCACAAUGGAGGAAACUCUGAUGCAGUGACGCCGCGUGCAGGAAGAAGGUUUUCGGAUUGUUAAACUGCUUUAGAUAGGGAAGAUAAAAGACUGUACCUAUAGAAUAAGCUCCGGCUAACUACGUG
This 502-nucleotide ribosomal RNA is filed under the name uncultured Eubacteriales bacterium. RNAcentral describes it as "bacterial SSU rRNA". It matches the Rfam family "Bacterial small subunit ribosomal RNA", at positions 1 to 507 of the family's 1533-position model. Lineage: Bacteria; Bacillati; Bacillota; Clostridia; Eubacteriales. The record is from RNAcentral.